This 427-nucleotide ribosomal RNA is filed under the name uncultured Thermomonas sp. RNAcentral describes it as "bacterial SSU rRNA". It matches the Rfam family "Bacterial small subunit ribosomal RNA", at positions 355 to 774 of the family's 1533-position model. Lineage: Bacteria; Pseudomonadati; Pseudomonadota; Gammaproteobacteria; Lysobacterales; Lysobacteraceae. The record is from RNAcentral.
UAGGGAAUAUUGGACAAUGGGCGCAAGCCUGAUCCAGCCAUGCCGCGUGUGUGAAGAAGGCCUUCGGGUUGUAAAGCACUUUUGUCCGGAAAGAAAAGCGCUGGGUUAAUACCCUGGUGUCCUGACGGUACCGGAAGAAUAAGCACCGGCUAACUUCGUGCCAGCAGCCGCGGUAAUACGAAGGGUGCAAGCGUUACUCGGAAUUACUGGGCGUAAAGCGUGCGUAGGUGGUUUGUUAAGUCUGAUGUGAAAGCCCUGGGCUCAACCUGGGAAUGGCAUUGGAUACUGGCAGGCUAGAGUGCGGUAGAGGGUAGUGGAAUUCCCGGUGUAGCAGUGAAAUGCGUAGAGAUCGGGAGGAACAUCUGUGGCGAAGGCGACUACCUGGACCAGCACUGACACUGAGGCACGAAAGCGUGGGGAGCAAACA